Molecule: transfer RNA, 75 nt
Filed under: Calothrix sp. PCC 7716
Lineage: Bacteria; Bacillati; Cyanobacteriota; Cyanophyceae; Nostocales; Calotrichaceae
Description: tRNA-Leu
Rfam family: tRNA
About the family: Transfer RNA (tRNA) molecules are approximately 80 nucleotides in length. Their secondary structure includes four short double-helical elements and three loops (D, anti-codon, and T loops).
Source: RNAcentral
GCUCCUGUAGCCCAAUUGGAAGAAGGCCACUACCUUAAACGUAGUUCAGUACUGGUUCAAACCCAGUCAGGAGCA